UACGGAGGGUGCAAGCGUUAAUCGGAAUUACUGGGCGUAAAGCGCACGUAGGCGGCCUUUUAAGUCAGAUGUGAAAGCCCUGGGCUCAACCUGGGAACUGCAUCUGAUACUGGAAAGCUAGAAUGUGGGAGAGGGGAGUGGAAUUUCCGGUGUAGCGGUGAAAUGCAUAGAGAUCGGAAGGAACACCAGUGGCGAAGGCGGCUCCCUGGACCAACAUUGACGCUGAGGUGCGAAAGCGUGGGUAGCAAACAGGAUUAGAUACCCCCGUAGUCC
This 273-nucleotide ribosomal RNA is filed under the name uncultured bacterium. Its description in RNAcentral is "partial 16S ribosomal RNA". It matches the Rfam family "Bacterial small subunit ribosomal RNA", at positions 524 to 796 of the family's 1533-position model. The record is from RNAcentral.